Molecule: non-coding RNA, 73 nt
Organism: Myotis davidii
Lineage: Eukaryota; Metazoa; Chordata; Mammalia; Chiroptera; Vespertilionidae
Source: Rfam
CUUGGAGGGGGGGGUCCCUCAGCCCAGAUUGUGAGAGGGCAUAGGCCAGGCCGAGGGACCCCACCAGUGCACU